ACGCUAGCUACAGGCUUAACACAUGCAAGUCGAGCCCUAGAAUGGUCUUAGCUUGCUAAGGCCGAUGGCGACCGGCGCACGGGUGAGUAACACGUAUCCAACCUGCCGUCUACUCUUGGACAGCCUUCUGAAAGGAAGAUUAAUACAAGAUGGCAUCAUGAGUCCGCAUGUUCACAUGAUUAAAGGUAUUCCGGUAGACGAUGGGGAUGCGUUCCAUUAGAUAGUAGGCGGGGUAACGGCCCACCUAGUCUUCGAUGGAUAGGGGUUCUGAGAGGAAGGUCCCCCACAUUGGAACUGAGACACGGUCCAAACUCCUACGGGAGGCAGCAGUGAGGAAUAUUGGUCAAUGGGCGAGAGCCUGAACCAGCCAAGUAGCGUGAAGGAUGACUGCCCUAUGGGUUGUAAACUUCUUUUAUAAAGGAAUAAAGUCGGGUAUGCAUACCCGUUUGCAUGUACUUUAUGAAUAAGGAUCGGCUAACUCCGUGCCAGCAGCCGCGGUAAUACGGAAGAUCCGAGCGUUAUCCGGAUUUAUUGGGUUUAAAGGGAGCGUAGAUGGAUGUUUAAGUCAGUUGUGAAAGUUUGCGGCUCAACCGUAAAAUUGCAGUUGAUACUGGAUAUCUUGAGUGCAGUUGAGGCAGGCGGAAUUCGUGGUGUAGCGGUGAAAUGCUUAGAUAUCACGAAGAGCUCCGAUUGCGAAGGCAGCCUGCUAAGCUGCAACUGACAUUGAGGCUCGAAAGUGUGGGUAUCAAACAGGAUUAGAUACCCUGGUAGUCCACACGGUAAACGAUGAAUACUCGCUGUUUGCGAUAUACGGCAAGCGGCCAAGCGAAAGCGUUAAGUAUUCCACCUGGGGAGUACGCCGGCAACGGUGAAACUCAAAGGAAUUGACGGGGGCCCGCACAAGCGGAGGAACAUGUGGUUUAAUUCGAUGAUACGCGAGGAACCUUACCCGGGCUUAAAUUGCAGAUGAAUUACGGUGAAAGCCGUAAGCCGCAAGGCAUCUGUGAAGGUGCUGCAUGGUUGUCGUCAGCUCGUGCCGUGAGGUGUCGGCUUAAGUGCCAUAACGAGCGCAACCCUUGUUGUCAGUUACUAACAGGUUCCGCUGAGGACUCUGACAAGACUGCCAUCGUAAGAUGUGAGGAAGGUGGGGAUGACGUCAAAUCAGCACGGCCCUUACGUCCGGGGCUACACACGUGUUACAAUGGGGGGUACAGAGGGCCGCUACCACGCGAGUGGAUGCCAAUCCCAAAAACCUCUCUCAGUUCGGACUGGAGUCUGCAACCCGACUCCACGAAGCUGGAUUCGCUAGUAAUCGCGCAUCAGCCACGGCGCGGUGAAUACGUUCCCGGGCCUUGUACACACCGCCCGUCAAGCCAUGGGAGCCGGGGGUACCUGAAGUGCGUAACCGCGAGGAG
This 1415-nucleotide ribosomal RNA is filed under the name uncultured organism. Its description in RNAcentral is "16S ribosomal RNA". It matches the Rfam family "Bacterial small subunit ribosomal RNA". The record is from RNAcentral.